CAUUCCACUUCCAAUAUGGAGACUUUCCAACUACAACCUUUUCCUUAAUUAAAUCUCCCUUAAUAAUUCUUUGACCUUCAUCAUGAGUUCUGUUCCCUUGACUUCACUAAUGUCUCACUACUCAUGAGAUUCACUUUUAUAUUCCUUCUUUCUUACCUUCAUUUUCAUCAUCCAUUACUAUAAUCACUCUCUUGCUCUGUCUCCUCCAAUUGUGUUGGCUUCUUUGUCUCCCUCUAUCUCCCCGUCCGCCACUCACACUCUGUCUCUCUCUCUCAAACAAACAUUAAAACAAAAUCAAUACCUCAAAGUAACCAAUCAGGUAAUAAGAGAAAAAGGAAUAAUAGAACAUCACCAUUUUGUAAACCCUCAAUGAGAUCAAGAUCAUCAAUAGCUUUAAUGUUACAAAGGAGAGACACUUGAAGGUUAUGUGCCUCCUGAUGAAAAGACACAGCACCACCUAUGGAGUAUUCUUGAUGAAAACCUGAACCUGAAUCAAAGCAAGCCUUUAUAUCUAACAACCGUUUACAGAAAAUGAAAGGAGAUAGAGGAAAUGGUUAAAUGUCACCAUAGGAAUGCAAUCAGCAAAAUCCUGAAUAGGAAAUUUCUGAAGGACAAAAAUCUCUAUUUCUUCACCAAAAAGGGGGUGAUAAAGAAGUGGAGAGGGAAGAUCUGUAGAUUAUAAUAGAUUUAAGAGAGUUGUCCAUCAAGUGUAACAUUAGCUCUUUGAGGAUGGUGCCAUAUAGGCCAUAUGACAUGAUAUAUGACAACCACAUGACAACCUGACAUCACUAUUAAGUGAUGAUAUCACUAUUAACCUCACAUGCCCACACCCUUGAUUCCACCUGCCCCCUCAAACCUUGUCUCUCCCCAGGCUUGCCUAUGUUUCCCAUCUUCACAAAUGGCCCCACCACCAUCUGGUUGCUCAGGGCUAUGCCAACACUGCCUUUGGAAAUCGUAGAAGGUUUACAGAAAGACAUUGCCCAGGAGUCAGAAAACCUGAGAGUCCCAGUUUUCUCCCUUUUACUGGUUGUUGCUCUUGGGCAAUGCACACGCGCUCUUUGUGCCUGAGCUUCUCACCUACGAUCUGGGAGUUUGGGAGUGGGCUUUUGAGCACUCUUCCCUGCUCUCAAGACUUUAGGCUCCCAAGUGGCCCCUUGCAUAUGGCAGAGCUACACAGGGACAGAAAUCGCUGAAGGAGGGAAGCCAAAUGUCAGGGGAAGGAGACUGGGAUUCAGGACUCAUCUCAUCCAUCAGGAGAAAGGGCCUGAGGAUUGGCCUGUUGUCAUCUAUCCGGACUUGCUUUCACCUCUGGAAAAAAACUUCAGGAAAAGUGACCCCUCCUUCCCACCCAUACUCACUGACCAAAAUUUCCAUCAAAGCCUAGCUUCUAUCCCUCAUGCCAGGAAUCAUACCCAAGUGGAAGCACAGACAUCCCUGGCUACCAUAAAGCAAGGAAGGGGCCAACCCAGGAAAGGGGUGAAAGGUGAUGUCAGCCGUCUGAAGUUUCCCAGGGAUGGUGAGAAGUCACAAGACAAAGCCCUUUGAGAAAUAGUCACCAGUCUAUGUUCCCACUGGGCUGUGCCCUGGGAGAGGCACAAGAACCCGCCCCAACGCCUGAGAGAGGGACACUGGAGGCCUCAGACCAACUCCCUGAAGUCUUGACUUCUAGUGAAUCUACAUUGGCUGACUUCCCCGGAUUUAUGAGGAUGCUUCUGGAAUCUUCUGCAAAGCUUCCAGCUUCCUGGCAGAACUCCAUUACUAGAGGGAUGUUGGAAAGCAGCACCCUGCAAGAUGUGCAUGUGAAUACACAGAAGCACACCUGAAGGAGCUAACACCAAACUGAAAACCAAGGUCACCUCUGGGGAGGUGAGGAGGAGACCAGAAAUGGAGGUCAGCUGGGGGUUCUGAUCCAUGCCAUCGUCAUUCAGGGAUCUAGACCUCAUCAUCUGAAAUGUCAUUGGUCACCAUGGCAGAGAGAAGGUAAGGAGAAUCAUACGCUGGCUCUUAAAUGCUUCCACCCAGAAGACACAUUUUUGCUCAUGUAUCAUUGUCCAAAGCAAGUCACAUGGCCACACCUGACUUCUAAAAGGUGGGAAAGUACCUAUAAGAGAACAGGGAACAUGGAUGAGCAGCACUGAUGGUUAACACACUUGUCUUUUGUAAAAUGGGAGCCAAGAAAUUGUGGAAAUGAAGGGAGGAGACGCGUUCACAGGCACAGCCUAGUCCUUGAAGAUGAUGUUCUGGAAGUUGAUUCCCGUCAACAUAACCCUGCCACCUACCCUUCGCUAAGAAAGCCUUUUUGCACCUCUAGGGGUACAUGUGCCCAAGUGUGAAGACCACUGCUGCCUUUGUGAAGCCUUCCCUUCAGAUCCAGGGACCUCUUUGAGUUCCUGUCAUUAUUGCCUCUACUAUCCAUUUGGAAGCUAUUAGAGGAGUUAAUUACAUUUUCAUAUAUGUGUUUCAUGUUUUCCUAACAAGUUGUAGUUUCUUUGAGGAUGGAAACCAUAUGUAAGUUUUUACAUACCCCAUAUUAUCUAGCAAGAACAGUUAGAACUUGUGAGUUCUGCUUGAUGGCUGAAUUGGUCACUUUUCUUGGUAUGCUUCAAUCUCAUCUGUGCAGUGGGAAUAACAAGGCUUCUUGCCCUUAGGAUCACAAUCAAGAUGACAGAAGUGAAAGCUCUUUCCAUCCCACUCUCUUUGACCUAACAGGGAUCGGCAUCUUGAGACUCCACUUCUGAAAAGCUGUAUGUAAUGAUGAGUCAUUAAAGGCUCUUGAAACAUC
Molecule: long non-coding RNA, 2782 nt
Organism: Herpailurus yagouaroundi (jaguarundi)
Lineage: Eukaryota; Metazoa; Chordata; Mammalia; Carnivora; Felidae
Exons: 6
Source: RefSeq, a predicted model, not a curated record